CACAAGCGGUGGAGCAUGUGGUUUAAUUCGACGCAACGCGAAAACCUUACCUGGGCUUGACAUGGAGAGAAUCUCCUGGAAACAGGAGAGUGCCUCGCAAGAGGAGCUCUCACACAGGUGCUGCAUGGCUGUCGUCAGCUCGUGCCGUGAGGUGUUGGGUUAAGUCCCGCAACGAGCGCAACCCCCAUCCCCAGCUGCCAUCAUUAAGUUGGGCACUCUGAGGAAACUGCCCGGGUUAACCGGGAGGAAGGCGGGGAUGACGUCAAGUCCUCAUGGCCCUUAUGUCCAGGGCUACACACGUGUUACAAUGGCUGAAACAAAGGGCAGCGAAGCAGUGAUGUGGAGCGAAACCCAAAAAAGCAGUCUCAGUUCGGAUUGAAGUCUGCAACUCGACUUCAUGAAGUCGGAAUCGCUAGUAAUCGCGGAUCAGAACGCCGCGGUGAAUACGUUCUCGGGGUUU
Molecule: ribosomal RNA, 460 nt
Filed under: uncultured Syntrophorhabdus sp.
Lineage: Bacteria; Pseudomonadati; Thermodesulfobacteriota; Syntrophorhabdia; Syntrophorhabdales; Syntrophorhabdaceae
Description: bacterial SSU rRNA
Rfam family: Bacterial small subunit ribosomal RNA
Source: RNAcentral